AUGGUAGGGAUUGAUCUACAUGACGUGUCAAUUAAAAAGAAAAGUUUGAGGUUCUCUGAAGUGUGAAGUUAGUUCAGCACUCCUGCUUAUUAAGAAGCAAGCAGAAGGAGGGGGGAAAACUCUGAAGUGCCUUGUUAGUUGUUUCUUCGCGUUUUCCGAAUGGACCGAAUAUGCCUCACUCUCCUCCUCUUCGUGGCGGUGGCGAUGUGCCGCGCAGACACCAACAACAGCUCCGGCGGCCUGUUAUUGCCCACUGAUGCGGUGGAUUCUGUUUUAGUUCCGCCUGAAAACUCCGACGGCGGCUUUUCUUCACUGGACAGCAUGUUAAACUGGGCUAUAAGUAAUUCGGAUCCCGAAAAAUUAAAGGAAUCUGCCCAAGCUCAGCAACGGCUCUCACCAAGCGAGCUCCAGAAACGCCAAAUGGAAAUCAAGGAGAUUAUGGAGAAAACAAAGAUGCCUUCGGACGGGGAACUAAUGAAGAUUGCUAUAAGUGACUUGAAUAACAAGUCAGCAUCAUUGGAAGAUAGGUACCGUGCAUUACAGGAGCUCUUAGAGCUCGUGGAGCCAAUAGAUAAUGCAAACGAUUUGCACAAACUUGGGGGACUUGUCGUGAUUACACAGGAACUUAAUCACUCUGAUCCAGGCAUAAGGACAAUUGCUGCAUGGAUCCUCGGGAAAGCUAGUCAAAAUAACCCAAUUGUGCAGCAGCAGGUCUUGGAACUCCAAGUACUCUCUAAGCUGAUGAAAAUGGUAAAAUCUGAUUCUGUAGAAGAAGCCAAUAAGGCACUAUAUGCAGUUUCAGCAUUAAUUCGGAAUAAUGCUGCAAGUCAGGAGAAGUUCUAUGCCGAAGCUGGAGGUUGGAUGCUUCACGAUAUUUUGAGGAAUGCUAAUCUUGAUAUCAGACUACGGAAGAAGGCUGUGCUCCUAUUGGCUGAUCUAGCAGCGUAUCAACUAGAGAAUGUAGACAGAGAUGGCCCGCCUUUUUUCAAUGAUCGGGAUCUGUUGAAGUCAGUAGUUGAUUUAACUGCAUCACCUGAUCUUGAUCUCCAGGAGAAGGCUCUUGUAGCGAUUAGAAGUUUUCUGCAACUAAGGAUCACCGAAGCUAUCGUUUUCAGAGAUUUUUGUGCUUUGGGAAAUGCACUGAAUAGGAUGAAGCAAUCGUUGCAUGAUUUGAUGGCAGACGAGUAUCAGAGAGACUAUGUGAUGGAUGUGGAAACCCUUCGCAUUGAAGUGGAACAAAUUUUCCAUAAAAAACUCGUAAAGCAGUGAUGAGUUCACAUUCCUGUGAUCAUAAUGACGCAUAAUUAUUCAGUUUCUAGGUGUCGUAUCAUCCUAUCUUCCGGACAUGAGAUUCACAAGAUUUUGGUUUUCAUAGAAGGAGCCAACAUCCCAAUCAUCAGUAGUUGAAGAAAGUGUCAUUAAGGCAACGACAAUGGAUCUCAUACUCGGACGCAGUUGGGGAUUGUCCUGUGUACAAGCUUUCGCUAGAUGCGCCAUCUGGAAGCCAAAUAAGUCAUGGUAGAUUGAGGACUUGAAAUCAUUACAAAAUAAAUAAAUAAAUAAAUGCUCAAACAGUCGAAUCAAACAAAUAUGCUCACUUUGCGAACUGAAUCAAUAGGGUAGUUUUCCCCAAGCCUUGGAUCCACUAGUUUACAAAGAUCUUCUGUAGGAUCAGGCUGACUAAGAACUCCUUCAAACUGCAUUAUAAAAAGAAUUUAAUAUAUUUUACUGUGAUUAGGCAGUU
Arachis ipaensis is the source of this 1744-nucleotide non-coding RNA. Lineage: Eukaryota; Viridiplantae; Streptophyta; Magnoliopsida; Fabales; Fabaceae. The record is from RefSeq and is a predicted model, not a curated record.